RNAcentral lists this long non-coding RNA (2747 nucleotides) under Malus domestica (apple). RNAcentral describes it as "long non-coding RNA (MDOM_LNC018140)". The record is from RNAcentral. Lineage: Eukaryota; Viridiplantae; Streptophyta; Magnoliopsida; Rosales; Rosaceae.
CCAAAAAAUCAAAACCGUGCCCUCCCUUAUGGCACAAAAGCCCCAAAUUUUGUUCAAAACUCACUCUUCAUUCAUGCAUCCAAAACACCUUUUGCAUACAUAUCUUUUUUCAACUCUUGAAACACAUUUUUCAACACUUAAAAAACAAAAGAUAAAAACAUUUAGAAUGAAGAUAUAAUAUGUCAAACGUAAAAUCAAAACCCAUAUGCAUAAAAUCCAAAAGGACACAUCAAAUAUAAACCUUUGGCUCUUUAUACCACUUGAAGGGAAAUAAUAAGAUUUAUGUGGGAUUUCUAGUGACUAGCAUGCAUAUACAAUUCUACAUUUAUAUACAUAAGCAACGGAAGCAUAUUAUCACAUAUUAUCAAAGCUAUAGUCAUGCAAAUCCCCUUCAAGAAGCAUAGGUUCAUGUAUGAUGCAUCAAACAAAAUAUUGAAGAACAAAGUGAAGGUUGAGUUUUGCACCUCUUGAUCUAGACUUUAGACCAAGGUUUGACCACCUCCAAGCUCUUUGUUCUUGGAACUCCUUGAGUCUAGCCUCCCUCCUUGCUUCCUCCACCUUGAUAGAUUUUGAACUCCUUUGAUUCUCCUUUAGUCUCCAAGGUAGAAGACCUCUAAAGAUCCACUCCCACUAGUGUAGUGAGAUGGAUGUUGGAAUAACCAAAAGGGAGAAAAGAUGAUUAGUUAAUUUUCCCUUUUUUGUGGCCGGCCUUGAAUGUGUGAAGAGAGAGAGACUUUUUUUCUCUUUUGUUGAAAAGUACACACAAAACCCUAAUGAAACCUUUUUCAUUAAACUUCCUUUAUAAAUGUCAAAGAAGUGAGUCAACAAAUUGACUUCUUCUCUCUCUCCUUUCUUUAGUAAUGGCCGGCCCCUUAGUGUGGGUUUGGACUUUGGGCUUUUAUCAUCUCAAGGCAUUCUAUGCUUGAAUAAAAGGACCCAAUGGGUUUGGGCCUAAUGGGCCCGAAUGAACCCGAACUUUUCUUUAAGUCCUAAACAAUCUUUCAUCGUUUCUAUGAUUUCUUUAGACUUUCUAAUUAAUCAUAGCACUUAAUUAAUUCCAUCAUCCUUUAGUUGCCUCACCACAAGAGUGUAUCGGUGUACAAUCGUUUUAGGUUCUAAUUAGCAAGGCAGUGAACUGAUUGGCACCAAUCCAAUUAAUUAGUAUUAAUCCAAUCACUUAGUGAAUUAAAAUUUACUUUUAAUUCUCCUUCUUCUUUGAUGACUACUUAUUUAAUCAUCUAGAAGAACUCAUAAGCCAUGAGUGACAUCUAAUCAUAUAUCAUGGCUACCCAAGCUAAUGUAGAAUUUGUUCGAAGAACCUAUUCAGUUGGAAUUACAAUGUAAUUCGAUCCUUCUCUAAUACAAUACUCACAAUCACAUUACUAGGGUAUGGAUACUUAAUGUCAAACCCCUAAUGUGAUUAUACCAUGAUAUAUGAUUCUAUUGAGUCGUAUAGGAACGCCCUCCAUCAUUACGCUUGAUACUUCGGCCAAAGAUUCCCGAAUCAUACCUAAGAGUAUUCUUCCUCUCAUAACGAGGAUUAGAGAUCCCUUGUUGAUAAUUCACGUGCCUCUGAGAAUAAAUUAUUGACCCCAACAAUGCAUAGAACACAUCCAAGAUGAGAUAUGGUCACGUCUCAUUAUCAAAUGAUCAGCAAUGUAUCCCCAAGACAACUAUGAUGUCUCAGGUCAAAGGAUUUCUUACAUUAUUCCAACCAGUAGAGUUACCUGCUUGACAUGUGAGUAGACCUCCAUGCAAGUAUUCUCGUUUGAUUGUGUUCAGUGAACUCAUUCCCUUAAUGAGCACCUACAUACUUGUCUUAGUGUCACUACAUGAAUGACAUGAGACUUUCCAUCCUUCCAUUUGAAGGGGACAUAGUAUGUACUGGUCUAUGUAUUGUUAGUAUCCCUCUGACAAUCCUAUGACCAGGAACCUUUUGGACAUUACGGUUAUGUGAAGAAGGUCUCUGCAGUCUAACAUCAUUAGAUUACUUCUUCCAUCGAUCUAUUGUCCAUGGAUUCCACUAUUUAGGACGUAUAUCGUUUAUUGAGAUAGUUCUAAUGAGUGGCUUUGCCUUUUGCUGUAUUAGAGUCAUCUAUACAUACAGACAUUGUCUUGAAAAGUUUCUUCCAAAGAUUGACUUUCAGGGCAUAUCUCCAACACUGACGUCACAUGUAGAAUGGGUUCAUUCACGCUCACAGCGCACUCUCGUAUUUUGGCACUUUUAGGUUCAAAUUUAUUCACAUAUUCCACAUCACUACACUUCAUGGCUUCAUCACCUCCUAGGUGUCGGUCAACACAACUCGAUUCGAAGUCCUAGUGGACAAUCUGAGUCGGAAUGUGUCAUUCAUGCAGAUACAAGAAUUUUUUGGAAUGACAUCAUUCUCGUUUCGAUUUCUUGUUUUUAUUUUCAUGGAAAAAAAUAGUAUUAUAUAGCCAUGAAGAAGCAUUUGCUGCAUCAAAGACAAUGAUGAAUUUCGUCAAUGUCAUAUUGCAAACCUUUUGUUGUUGUUGGAGAGUUGCAAAUUUAAACGGCUAAGGGAUCAGGAAAGAAGCUGGAUCUAUUUUAACUUCACAAUAUUCAUUUAUCAAAAUAUUCAUUUGAAAUUUAUUUUUAUUUCCAUGUCAUUGCCACAUCAUUUAGUAGUCAUCUUAACUUUUAAUUAGAAGCGUUAGAUGUAAAUAAAUCCAAGAGCUUAUAAAAAGUGUAAAAAUAUUUGUCAAAAUGUUUGUCCCUUGAUCCUAUC